Molecule: long non-coding RNA, 17913 nt
Filed under: Manihot esculenta (cassava)
Lineage: Eukaryota; Viridiplantae; Streptophyta; Magnoliopsida; Malpighiales; Euphorbiaceae
Description: long non-coding RNA (MESC_LNC006159)
Source: RNAcentral
UGCCUCCACCCAUCCUCUUGAUCUCAUCAAGGUUCGCAUGCAACUUCAAGGUGAAUCCCACCUCCCCAAUCCAGCUUCCCUUCAAGCCCUCCGUCCUGCAAUCGCCUUCAACACGGUUGCUGCAGGUGCCGGCAAUAUUUCACUACCUGUAGAAAUUGCUCCUCCACCUGCUCGUGUUGGACCCAUUUCUAUUGGUGUUCGUAUCAUUCAAUCUGAAGGUGCUGCAGCCCUUUUCACUGGUGUAUCUGCCACUAUACUUCGCCAGACCUUGUACUCAACCACCCGUAUGGGUCUUUACGAUGUUCUCAAACACAAGUGGACAGAUCAAGACACCGGAAGCAUGCCUCUUCCACGCAAGAUUCUUGCCGGCCUUAUCUCCGGCGGUAUCGGAGCCGCCGUUGGGAACCCCGCUGACGUGGCUAUGGUCCGAAUGCAGGCUGAUGGACGUCUCCCAAUUGACCAACGUCGCAACUACAAGAGUGUGUUUGAUGCUCUAACUCAAAUGUCAAAGCAAGAAGGAAUUGCUAGCCUCUGGCGUGGCUCAAGUCUUACAGUGAACCGUGCAAUGAUCGUCACUGCAUCACAGCUCGCAACCUAUGAUCAGAUCAAGGAGAUGAUAUUGGAGAAGGGUGUGAUGAGUGAUGGAAUAGGGACCCAUGUGACGGCGAGCUUCGCAGCUGGGUUUGUGGCAUCGGUGGCUUCAAACCCUAUAGAUGUGAUAAAGACUAGGGUUAUGAACAUGAAGGUGGAGACAGGGGGGGAGCCGCCAUACAAGGGUGCAUUAGACUGUGCAAUGAAGACAGUGAAGGCGGAGGGUCCAAUGGCUUUGUAUAAGGGAUUUAUCCCUACAAUCUCAAGGCAAGGACCUUUCACUGUGGUGCUGUUUGUCACGCUAGAGCAGGUCAGGAAGCUGCUCAAAGAUUUCUAAUUCAAGUGAUGGUGAUCGAUGAGGGAAAUCAAAAUGCCAUAUAUAGAUAGAAAUAUGUGAAUUUUUCAGCUUCACUAUCGGGAGAAUUAUUCUUUAAUUCUUUUUGUUAGAAUUUGGAAAGGCCACUAUUAUUCCAUUACUGUAAAGAAGAAUUGAAUUUUUGAUAUAAAUUAAUUAUUACUUGAUCUCACAUUUCCAUUUGUCUAUCUUCAUAUAUAAUUGCAGAAUUCACCGCAAAUGUAAAAAAAUUCAAUUAAUCAAGGUGUUGUUCUCCUAAUGGCAUGGCUCACAGUCACAAAAUUAAAAAGAGAUUAAACCCAUCAAAAUACAUAAUCACAUCAAUAUAGAAUGCUUGUAUGAAUAUUGCUGGAGUUUUGACCUUCUUGAGUUUUGACAUCCUGCAGCUGCAUUAUAAGAGUAACAAUCACUUUUAUUUUUUUUGACAAUAACCUUACCAUAAAUUACAAGUAAAUAUUUUAUACUUCGUCCUUUUCUUUGAUACUGGUUUUUCUACGGCCACCCUUGUCUUUUCAAGAAGGGUUGACUUCUGUCACCUUGUUAUAUGUUUUUAAAUUUUUUUUAUUAUUAUUGUUUUACAUGUUGUGCUUCUUCAGUUUUUUCAUGCCUUAUUGUUGACAGAUUUAAGAGAGGAUUAACUUUUUGGGAAUGGUGAAACUCUUGGAGUCGUAUUCCGAACAUGAAUAAUGCAAUCAGUAACCCUCAAGGCCUUGGGUGCCAUAGAACUCUGGCUACUGCCCUUAGUUGGUUUGAAGCUUCGAUGCUUCUGGCCUUCAAUCAGUCUGUGCUUUAGUUUUAUUGGUUCUGGCUGUUGCCCUCAGUUGAUUUGAAGCUUCGACUUUGGUCUGGCCUUCAAUCAAUCUUUGCUUCAGUUUUAUUAGUUUUCUUGAUAAGACGCUCCAUGGCUCUUUCUACAAGUUGCAUUUGUUGUCGGGUCUCUCAACUUUUUAAGUUUUAAGGAUUUGAUGACCUUUUAGGUUUUAAGAAACCUUAUUUUAUUUUCUAUUAAAAACUACGGUUUUAAAUGAGUUGGAUUAAAAUUUUAAUUUUAAUUUUUUUCUUUAUAUUAUUAUAAAUGAUUAAAACGUAAAUACGAAUAUAAUUCAAUCAUUUGUAGUUAGAGAUUAGAAAAAAAUCUCCUCAGAUUCAAUAUGAAAACAUUUAGAGUACAUGUAUUACGCUCAAUUCAUAGAGAUUUAGAAAGCUGCUCUUAGAAUUUCAAGCUUUUACUUGAGCAGUAUAAAUUGAUAGUUUUUUAGGGACCAUUUUAAAAUUUCUAUCCAUAAAUUUUCUUUAAAAACAAAGUGACGUGCAAAGCGCACUAAUAUAUUUUAAAAUUUAAGCAAUGAUAUCUUUACGGUCAUAGUAAAAUUAUUAUUUUAAUAUUAUUAAGAUAACAGUUUGAUAAUAAUUUAAAAAUAUUUAAAAAAUUUAUUUUUUUAUUAUAUUUAAUAAUAAAUUUUAAUAAAAAAUUAUUUUAUAUUUAAUAAAAUCAUAAUUUUUACUAUAUUUUAUAUUUACAGUAAAAAAAUAUGUUUAAAGCUGAUUUAUAUUUAAUAGUGAUAUAUUUCAAAUUGUUGUUAUUAAUUUAUAAUUAUAUUUAAAAUAUACAAUAUUACUAUUUUAAAUUUAUUUUUAUAGUAGUGGUUUUUUUGCAUACUCCACCUUCCUCUACUAUUUAUAAAAAUUUAUAAAAAAUAAUAUAUAUUUAAAAAAAUAGAGUAAAAAAUUAAUGAAUCACUGUACAUGAUACAUUUAUAGAAAAUAUUUCUCUAAAACUGUUUCAUGUAGACUGAAUAUAAUAAUUACAGUGGAAUUUUUCCGAUAUUAUAAAGUUUUGAUUUCAAAAUCUGUCACAUCAAGUCAACGGUUUAAUUAUUAGUAACGUUGAUAAAAAAAAAAGUAUUAAUAACUGAAUUUUUUUAGAAGUUAUUAAUAACUGAAAAAUACUUAAUCUCAUAAUAUAACAUAUGAUUAAUCACAACUGCCCAUACGAUCAUCAAGGUAAAGGAGGGCAGACGAAAAAUAAAAAAUUAAAAAAGAAGAAUGGGUCAGUCAGUGGAACCCACUAACAUGUGAGUGAGCCAUAUGGUUGUUACACAGUUGGCCAGUUCAACAGUUCAAACUAGGAAGACCAAGAAUGGUCACAGACAACAGCACCAAUAGCGCAGAUAUAUAGAGUCAAAUGCAAUACCGUGUAUAAUUGAUCAGUCGAAUAGCACAAAGAAUUUUCUUCGAAUUUUCUCCAUAUAGAUAACGUGUGGACCAUCCUACACUCCCUCUCGGCCUCUCUAUAUAAACGCCUAAUUCUCUGCUCACUCUUCAUCUUCAUCACCAUUUCUAUUGUCUGCCUCUUCACUUCACUCAGCUUCUCUCUCGCUGAUCAGUUUUGAUUUCUUCAGUUUUCGAUCCAUAAUUAAUAAUGGGUUUGAAGGGUUUUGUUGAAGGUGGUAUUGCCUCCAUCGUCGCUGGUGCCUCCACCCAUCCUCUUGAUCUCAUCAAGGUUCGCAUGCAACUUCAAGGUGAAUCCCACCUCCCCAAUCCAGCCUCCCUUCAAGCCCUCCGUCCUGCCAUCGCCUUCAACACGGUUGCUGCUGGUGCCGGCAAUAUUUCACUACCUGUAGAAAUUGCUCCUCCACCUGCUCGUGUUGGACCCAUUUCUAUCGGUGUUCGUAUCAUUCAAUCUGAAGGUGCUGCAGCCCUUUUCUCUGGUGUAUCUGCCACUAUACUUCGCCAGACCUUGUACUCAACCACCCGUAUGGGUCUUUACGAUGUUCUUAAACACAAGUGGACAGAUCAAGACACCGGAACCAUGCCUCUUCCACGCAAGAUUCUUGCCGGCCUUAUCUCCGGCGGUAUCGGAGCCGACGUUGGGAACCCCGCUGACGUGGCUAUGGUCCGAAUGCAGGCUGAUGGACGUCUCCCAAUUGACCAACGUCGCAACUACAAGAGUGUGUUUGAUGCUCUGACUCAAAUGUCAAAGCAAGAAGGAAUUGCUAGCCUCUGGCGUGGCUCAAGUCUAACAGUGAACCGUGCGAUGAUCGUCACUGCAUCACAGCUCGCAUCCUAUGAUCAGAUCAAGGAGAUGAUAUUGGAGAAGGGUGUGAUGAGUGAUGGAAUAGGGACCCAUGUGACGGCGAGCUUCGCAGCUGGGUUUGUGGCAUCGGUGGCUUCAAACCCUAUAGAUGUGAUAAAGACUAGGGUUAUGAACAUGAAGGUGGAGACAGGGGCGGAGCCGCCAUACAAGGGUGCAUUAGACUGUGCAAUGAAGACAGUGAGGGCGGAGGGUCCAAUGGCUUUGUAUAAGGGAUUUAUCCCUACAAUCUCAAGGCAAGGACCUUUCACUGUGGUGCUGUUUGUCACGCUAGAGCAGGUCAGGAAACUGCUCAAAGAUUUCUAACUCAUGUGAUGAUGAUCGAUGAGGAAAAUCAAACGCCAUUACAUAUAGCUAGAAAGCUGUGAAUUUUUCAGCUUCAUUGCUGAGAAUUAUUCUUUAAUUUUUUUAAUGGGACUCUUUGUAUCUGUCAAAUUGCAGUUAAAUUGGCAAUUCCACAGUUUUAGGAAGAUAGAUUCCUGCAUUUAACAUUUUAUUUAUAAAAAAAAAAUUAAAAAUAAUUUUUUUAAAGUAUAUAAAAAAUAAUUAAUAAUUAUAAAAAAAUUAUAUAAAAUGACAGCUAGACAUUUUUUAAAAUAAUUAAUAAUUAAAAUUAUUUUAUUUUUUUAAAAUUAAAUGUAUAUAAAAACAAAAAAUAUAUAUAUUUUAAAGAAAAAUUUUUUAAUAUUUAAAAUAUUCAUUGACUAAUUUUCUAAAUGCCUCAAAUAUUAAAAAAAUAUGAAAAAUAUUUUUAGUUAAAAUAUAAAAAAUAUUUAACUAAAAAUAUUUUGUAUAAAAAAGUAGAGUCUAAAAUAUAUAAUUUUUUUAUAUUUUUUAACAUAUCUACCUUUUAAAAUUUUCAUAAAUAUGAUAUUUUAAAAUCUCAACGUGGUUUUACUAUCAUUAAAAUUUUAAAUUUUUUUAACUCACAAUUUAAUAAAAUAAUUAAUAAAAAUUUCAAAAAUAUAUAAUUUCAUUAAAAUAAUUUUAUGUAAUUUUUUUAAAUAAUUAUUUGUUUAAACAUUUUUUAUUUAAAAAUAAAAAAAAUUUUAAAAUAAUAAAUUAUUAUUUUUAACAAUAAUUUUAAUUAGUAAUUAUUUUUUUUAUAUACUUUAAAAAAAUUAUUUUUAAUUUUUUUUUAAAAAUAUUUUUUUAUAAAAUUGACAUAUUCAAUAAUUAAAGCGUUAAACAUACCGAUUUCCACCGCUAGAUUAUCAAACUGUGCAGUUCCACAGCAUGAGUGAUGAAUAAAAAUUCAAAAUGCCUUGGAAGAUCAAACGUGAAUUUCAAUUUCUUUUUUUUUUCUUGUGCGUGUUUUGAAAAAAAAAUAGCUCUACCAAAGCAGUAAACUCAGCAAGCACAAAGGUACACAGGCCAAGUCGAAUCAUGAAUCCAGCUGCCCAACGACCGCGGCUAUUCCGGAGUAGCCCACCUCCUCCUCCACGACCUGGAUUCCCCUGCAAGCUGCGACGCUCCAUCUGUGUUGAGUUUUAACCACCUAUCUCGCGGUGGAACCCAUGAAACAGCCACCAAAGUUCGUUGUUUUUGCACCUUAUUCAUUCCUUUCCAGACCUUAUAAUUCAUGCAGUAUUCCCUACGUAAAAUGGCUAUCUUUGAAGUUAACGUUAAUAUUUCUCCCUCAAACACAUAAUUAUUUCUCCACUGCCACAAAAACCAUAACGUAAUACAAAGACACUGUACAGCCUGAUACUCACUCCUUUCUCUACAUAUCAGUUCUUCACAAUGUAACCAGUCCUGAAUUCCCAUGUUAUAAAAUUUGGUUAAAGAGUUGGCCUCCCAUACAUUUCCUAGACUUGUCGAGCAGCCCAACAAUAAAGAUAUGUAGGUAACUUUCAUAUAUUUUUUACUUAUAAUUUAAAUUAAUUUUAUAUUUUUAGUAAAUUUAGUAAAUAAAAAUAAAUAUUUAAUAUUUAAUUAUUUUAUUCAUAAAAAUUAAAAAAUUUAAUUUCAUUGACUCAUUGAAGAUGUGAUAUAGUGAUUCUAUCAUAUGAAAGGUAAAUACGUAGAAAAAUUAUAAAUUUUUGUUUAUAAAUAUAUCAUAUUUUUUGUGCUUAAUUUUAAUUUAUUAUAAUUUUAAAAAGUAAAAAGAUAAAUAUUGAAUUUAAAUGUUUAUUUUAUUUAUUAUCAGCAAAUGAGACUUUCUGUAUAUAUUAAUAUUUACUGGGACGGAAAUAUUAUAAGUACGUUUUCAUGGAUAUGAUUAUGGUGGAAGUUUUUCAAAUGUUGUUCUAAUAAGUAAAAGGAUAAGUUUUAAUCAAACAGUAAAAAAAAUUGCAUAUACUAAUAUUUACUGGAACGAAAAUAUUAUAAGUAAUUCUGAUGGAUAUGAUUAUGAUGGAGGUUUUUCAAAGGUUGUUCCAAUAAGUAAAAGGAUAAAUUUUAAUUAAGCAAUCGAAAAAAUUGCAUAUACUAAUAUUUAUUGGGACGAAAAUAUUAUAAGUAGUUUUCAUGGAUAUGAUUAUGAUGGAGGGUUUUCAAAGGUUUUCCAAUAAGUGAAAGGAUAAGUUUUAAUCAAGCAGUCGAAAAAAUUGCUUGUGCAGUUGAAUUAGUCGAGAAUAAUGAAUAUAUAGAGAUAAUUAAUUUUAAAAAACCUAUAAUUUUGGAUGGAUCAUUAAAAUUUAAGUAUAUGGACACUACAAGAAUUUUAAAAAUUACCAACAGAAAUUUCCAUUGGUAAACAUUGAUAUUCCGUUAGUGAAAAAUUUCACUAACGGAUCUGUGACGGAUUCAUUCCGUUGGGAAAAUUCUCGUUGGUAAAUUAUUCACUAACGGAAUUUGUAUCCGUUAGUGACACUAACGAAUCACCAACGGAAAUGUCCGUUGGUGACACUAACGGAAUGCAAUUCCGUUGGUAAUACUAACGGAUUUUGCAUUAGUAAUCCGUUAGUGAAUAAAAAAUGGCGUUGUUUUCCUUUGCAAUGGACAUGGAUCUGUUAGUGACACCAACGGAAAUUCUAUUGGUAAUCCGUUGGUAAAUCAUAAAAUUGCAAAAUCAUCCAUAUAUUUUCAUACAUUAUGUACUUGUACCCUGUACAUUCAUAUACAUCCAUCAUCAUCCAUCAUCAUCCUGGACAUUAAUAAUACUAUAAACGUAAAAAAUCAAAUUACUCAUUAAAAUAUAUUUAAAACUUAAAAAAUUUGUACUACAAUUAUAAUUUGAAAUAAAAAUUAUCAACUGGUCAUAACAAAAGAUACAUACUAAACUAAACUAGCAAACUCAUCAUCUGUAUCAUCAUCAUCACUAUCUGUAUGAUGAUCACCAAUGACAGGGGCAUCAUCAUGCCGCUGCUGUGGAGACGGAGCUGGAGGUGCCCUAGGAGCAGAUGUCUGAGUGGAUGUCCCAAUACUCUGUUGUGCCAUCAUCCUAUGCAUAAACGUCUGCAACUCGUCCAACACUGUGCUAAUUCAACCAUUCUCUGUCUCUAGCCGAUCAAUUUUAUUCUGCAUCUUGUUCAUUGCUUCAAUUGUAGGAGGAUCCACUGGGGGUGCAGACGUGUAUGAAGCGGAACAAUGAGAUGGCUCAUGAAAAUAUGCUAAAGCCUAGGACCCUAAUCUAUAAACUCGACUCUUUUUCUGCCCGCCAACCGCUUCGUAGUACAGUUGGACCUCAUUUAUGGUCGUCGGCUCAUUGCUUCUCUCCUGUUGCUGUGUUGCUACCUCUUUCAGUUGUACGUAUUUAUCCUGCAUUAUAAAUUUCAAGUAACGUAUUAGUAAAACGAUUUAAGUACAUCAAAAUUGUUAAUAACUACAUUUAAUAUUAACUUACAUAAAUAGCUUUUGACCUAGCAUCAACAAACUCUUCUGUCCCUUUUCUCUUAUGUGUGACCUCGAAAACCUCAUGAGGAUGUGGUUCUCUGCCUAGUCUUUCUCUCUGUUACCAAUUAUAAGAAGUAUAGCAAUUAUCAUCGAAAAAAAAUAUUUAUAAGAAGAUAAAUAUAAAAUAAAAAUAUUUACUAAUACCAUCCUCUGCUAAUGGGUAUACUGUGAAACUGAUCCGCAUGCAUGCCUGGAAAUGCCAGAUCCUGACCCUCCAGCCUCAAUGCGCCUAUUGGUAGAAAACUUGUCACACUUCUCUUUGUAUUCAGAAGUGUUCCAAGUUUUCUGCCACUUCCUCAAAAUAGAAUCUGGUGUAGCCAGAUUCUUCGCCUUCCCUUUCCUGAUUUCCCACAUUAAGCCCCUAUAUCUCUCAGCUGCCUUUUUCUGCCAUGCAAUUUUGACCAAGCUUUCAAUUGCUUGGUCCCAUAUGAAGCAUUUCUGCAAAAAGAUUAAAGUAUAUGAUUAGUUAGUAAUUACACAUUUCAUAUUAUAAAUCAAAAUGCUAAAAGAAUUACGCUUCACCUUGAAUUCCUGCCAAUAAAACUCCUUAGUGUCAUUUGGCACUGUCUUCCAACAGUGUCCUUCCGCGAUCAAUCUUUAUUUUAUUAUCAGAGUAAUCCUGCGACUGCACAUCUCCGACGGAUGUAAACUACAUGAACAACGGUGAGUUAGUAUAGGGUAACAUUGAAAUUAAUCAUAAUUAAAAAAUAAUUAACUAUUACUUGUUAUUAAUGAGUGAAAUGGUCUGUCGGAAUGAAUGUGUGCCGCCUACAGCAGUGGUCGAUCCUGCAGAUGCUGGAGCAGAUGAUAGAGUAGAUGCUGAUGCAGAUCCUGACCAUCUAGCUGAUGCAGUAGCAGAAGGAGAUGCAGGUUGAGGUGAAUGUGAAUGUGAUAUCGCAGGUCGUGGAGCUGGAGUGGGAUGGUGAGGAGCUAGAGUGUGACGGUGAGGAGGUGGAAGGGGACGGGGAGGCAAUGCAUCGGUACAUGGUGGAACUGGUGGACCUAAUAGAUCCCUAUGACAUGGUUGUACACUGGAUGCAAGUGGUACCCAUAUUUGAAGCUCCGUAUCCCCAAGUCCCGUUGAUGCCGUGGUAACUACGGCUAAUGCUCUUGUCCGCCAUCUGCAGUCGCCUCCUCUUGACUUGUACUAGCAGGAAGUCGAACCGGUCCUCUGGGCUUCUUAACCCUUCCACAUCCCCUCAUCUGUGAACAAAUAAAAAAUAGUCAAUGCAAAAAAUAAUAUAAAGUUCAUAAACAUUAAAUUAAAAACGUACAAACAUAGUAAGUUACUCACUGAGAAAUAAUGAAAAUAUACAACUCCAAACUGAUUUAUAAUAUAAAUUAAUUUAGUCCGAUUCAUACGAAUCGAACUCAUUAUCACCAUCUGCAUCUACAUCAGAAUUAGGGUCACUAAGAAACUCAUCUUCAUCUGUCGAAACAUCAUCAUGAAUCUCAGUCAUUCCUCCACUAGGAUCAUUCAGGUAGUGUUGUUGAGUAAUAUCAUCCAGAUUUACUUCAGCGUAAUCAAUCUCAUCUUCUUGAAAAGGUUUAUAUGUCUUUGAAGACGUUUCAGAUACUUCAACAACGGGUCUACCUUUAACUUUCAUCACAGCCCACCAAUCAUUUUUGUCACGACGCUUGCUCGGGUAUGAAGCAUAAACGACCUGUGUUGCCUGAGAGGCUAAUACAAAUGGCUCGUACUUACUGUAUCUACGCUUAUUGUUAACAUCGACUAUUCUAUAAUGUCUAUGCACCUUGGUGCCCGUAUUUAGUAUUGGAUCAAACCAAUCAUAUUUGAAAAGUACAGUCCGCUUAAUUGAUAACACUGGAUACUCCAACCGUAACACCUCAACCAACUGUCCAUAGUAGUCACUUUCUUUAAAACUGUAAUUACUCCCUUUUAUACAUACACCAAAAUUCAUUGACUUACUACUUAAAUUUCCAUUGAUUGUGUUGAAUUUAUAUCCAUUAACACAAUACCCAUCAAAAGUUGUGACACUUCUGAGUGGUCCCUUUGAAAGAUCUUGUAUAAGCUGAUUUUUUACAUUGUUCUGCAAUUCAUGGGCAUACUUGUAAAACCAUUGGCCAAACUCUCUCUCCAGUUUUUCAUCAACAGUUGCAUCUGUGAUAUUUGGUUGUGCCGAUUUUACUUGCUCUACAUAAAUGCUAUACAUACAAAUUAACAAGUAAUGUUUAACAAUAAUGUACAAUAUAAGAGAUAUUACACUAUUAAUAUAACUAACAAUACUUACUCAAUAUAUGUUUUCACCUCUGGACAAUUUAAAAGAAUAUAUGUUUGAGCAGAUUGGCUUUCAUUUUCAGUCAUAUAUCUCGAUUUUCCCUUUCAGAUUGUGCUACCUGUGCAUUUGAAUAUGCUUAAUUUGCUCGGUACAUCAUCAUCGGAAACAAAUUCAUGCAAGUUGCGUGGAACCUUCGAUGUCUGGUCAUUACAUGUGCUUCAAAAUAAUGAGCAGAAAAUGCACCUGCUUCUUCUACCAAGUAAGCAUUGCAUAUUGAACCUUCGACCCUUGCUUUAUUUUUGACAUUGUUCUUUAACUUUCUCAUGUAUCUAGUGUGUGAAAACAGAAAUUAGAAAUGUAUACUAAGUAAAUCAUAAUGCUGAGCAAUAUACGUAAAGAAUUAGUAAGUAUACCUCUCAAAUGGUAUAUCCACUGAUAUUGUACUGGUCCUGCAAUUAAUGCUUCAUAUGCAAGGUGUACUGGUAAAUGUUCCAUUGAAUCAAACAGACUUGGAGGAAAUACUCGUUCAAGCUUACAAAGGAUCACAGGAAUUUGUUCAUUUAACCGUUGCAUGUCCCAAUUAAUAAGUGUAGUUUAAGUAAGUUCUCUGAAGAAAUUGCUAAGCUCUGUUAUUGGUUGCCAAACAUUAUUCGAUAACAAUUCUCUGAAAGCUAUAGGAAGAAUUCGUUGUAUGAAAACAUGACAGUCGUGGCUUUUCAUACUAAAAAGUCUAAGCUUCCGACUAUCAACACACCUCCCUAGAUUGAAAACAUAUCCAUUAGGGAAUUUCAGUGUUUUAAGCCAAUCACACAGUAUCAUCUUUGAUUGCUUGUCCAAACAAUAACUUGCUUUUGGAUAUUUUCCGCUAAUUGGAUCUUUCUUCAAUUCUGGUCUCCUGCAUAUUUCAUUUAAAUCUUCCCUUGAUUUUAUAUUGUCUUUCGUCUUCCUCUCCACAUUCAUCACUGUAUUAAAAAUAUUUUCAAAUACAUUCUUUUCAAUAUGCAUUACAUCAAGAUUGUGGCGAAUCAUAUUUGAUUACCAAUAUGGCAAAUCCCAUAAUAUGCUCCGCUUACGCCAACCAGUUGUCUUUGAAAGCCGACCAUUUAUUUCAUGACUGUCAAUGUCUAUUAUCCGCAUCAACCCAAUUUGCUCAAUUUCUUUUAGCAAGUAUUCCCCAGUUCUAAUUGGCGGCGAUGACUUGGAGACUGUUUGGUUUUUAAUAAAAGAUAUCUUGUUUCGACGGAAAGCAUGGUCGUCAGGCAAAAACUUUCGAUGACUGUCAAACCAUGUUUGUUUACCCCCCCUUUUUAAUGUAAAUGCAUCUGUGUUUUCCAUACAGUAGGGACAUGCAGUGCGUCCUGCUGUGCUCCACCCUGAGAGCAUUGAAUAAGCAGGGAAGUCACUAAUAGUCCAAAGUAAAGCAACAUGCAUAGUAAAAUUGUUCUGCUGGAAAGCAUCAUAAGUAUUCACACUAAUUUUUCAAAGUUCUUUCAAUUCCUUCACUAAUGGUUGCAUGUACACAUCAAGCUUCUCUUUUGGAUUCUUGGGACCAGGUAUGAUAAUUGUCAGGAAUAUGUACUCAUCUUUCAUACACAUACCUGGUGGCAAAUUGUAUGGAGUUAAUAUUACUGGCCAUGAAGAAUACUGUUGCCCAAAUUGACCGAAUGGUUGAAAUCUAUCAGUGCAAAGGCCGAGUCUGACAUUUCGGGCCUCCAUUGCAAAGGUUGGAUGAGUUUGAUUGAAAUGCUUCCAAGCAAGAGCAUUUGAACAAUGAUGCAUCACCCCAUCAUCAUUUGCAUGGUCAUUGUGCCAAGUCAUAUACUUAGCUGUAACACACGAUGUAUAAAGUCUUUGCAAACGUGGUGUAAUGGGAAAGUAAUACAUUUUUUUGUAUGGUAUUAGACUCUUCCCUUUCCCCUUGGUGUGCUUGAGGUGUUUGAACCUUUCAUGGUCACAAAAUUUGCAUCUAGUAAGUUCUUUAUUAUUUUCCUAAUAAAUCAUACAAUCAUUAAAACAACAGUGUAUCUUUUGUACAGGAAGCCCCAAUCCUUGGACUAGUCUCUUUGUUGAGUAAAAGCUGCCCGUCAUGACAUUGUCACUCGGUAACAUCUCCUUCAUAAGUUCACAAAUCUGAUCAAAACACCAUUCUGAGAAAUGAUGUUCUGCCUUCAGAUUUAGUAAACGUGAAACGGCCGAUAACUGAGAGUGAGUUUCACAUUCAGGCCAUAGUUCUUACUUAGAUGCAUUUAACAUUUCAUACAGUUUCUGUGCAGCGGAGUUUGGCAUCUCAUAUGUAUCAUUAUGUAUUAUAUGACAACUUAUUGCAUCCAUGACCAUGUCCUCAAACCGAUUGAAAUUUAGGUGAUUAACACUAUCAGAACCAUAAGACAUGUCUAAUAGUGCAUCACCAGAUCCGUCAUGCACUUCAGUUUCACCGUGCAAAUACCAAGCAAGGUAAUUUUGCACAAAACCAUGCUUCAUUAAAUGAUAUUUAACUGUAUUUUCAUCUUGAAAGCUACAGUUCUGACACUUAAAUCGAUUGCAAGGACAGCGAAUCUGAUCGUCAUUUAAAUAAUAUGGGCAGUUCUUAGCCUUCUCUAUAAAUUCAUUGAUCCCCUCUAAAUAUCUGGGAUUAAGUAAACCAUCUCUGAGACGAGCAUACAUCCAACUUCUUUCAGCAGUCAUAUUAACUACAAUAACGAUGCUGAUAUGAAAACAUAAAACUUAUAAAUCCUAUCUUCGAACAGAGCCUGAAAACCAAUAAUUAAAUUAUGCAUUAUAUCUAAAAUAUGCAGUAAUUAUAUCAAUUUUACUUAAGAGAAUAAUUUAUGCAAAAAAAUAGAAUAAUAAUACAAAAACCUGAAAUACAUGAUAAUUUAAUUACUAAUAUCUUCAUAAUCACGUGUUUAAUUAAUUAUUAGGUCCGCCAAUUUAUUAGAUGCGCCAAAUUAUUUUUGAGAAGUGCACCAAAAUGCACCAGCAGGUGCACUGCAAAAUGCACAUGCUGGUGCACUUGGCGAGUGCAACAGCAGGUGCAAAGGAUAAAUUCAAAAAAAUAUAAAACCUGAAUCAGGUAAAAAAUUUCACAAAAAUCAAGCGGGUGCAGAGGAUAAUUUCACAAAAAAUCAAAAAUUUCAAAAAUAUAAAACAUUUCACAACAAUUUCACAAGAAUGGAGUACAUGCAAGAAAAUAGGGUACCUGUGGACAGUGUCCGUCGAUAAUGGCAAGACCGGAGAGAGAGAGGGCCUCACUCGUGGACCGUGAUGCCGAGAAAGGGCGCACCUGUCGACGGUGGAUGGCGGCAGACCGUGGUUAGCGGCAGCGGUGAAAGACCCAGAGGUUGGACGCAAAUUCGGAUUUCAGAGAUAUUUUGAUUUCCUAAUCACACGAUUUAGGGAUCUCAUUUAGUAUACUGUGUAUUUUGGGUUAAAAUUCACUAACGGAUGAUUAGUCCGUUAGUGAAAAAAACAUUAGAUUAAAAAAUAAUAAAAUCACUUACAGAUUACUAACAGAAAUAAUGUCCGUUAGUAUUUCACUAACGGACUUAUGAUGGAUGGGUACGAGCGUAUUCUUCAAUCCGUUAGUGAAGUCCGUUAGUGAUCAAUUGAAAUCUUGUAGUGGGAGAUAUGGGGUGAAGAUGACGUAUCUCAUAUGUUUAAUUACACAUGUCAAGUUAGUGAUAUGACUGAUAUAAAAAAAUAUGUUAAGAUACUUCGUCGUGUUAAUACGAUAAAUGAGGAUGUUGAUAUUGAUCUCUCUGGAACUGCUCUUGAAUCAAAUAUUGAAUAAUGUGAAGAGCAGAAUUCACUGAAUGAUUAUAAUUUAUCUGAUACUCUUGAAGGGCGAUCGAAUAAUUUAUCUGAUAGAGCAGAGGAUGAUGAUUCAUAGAUAUCUACUGAGGAUGAUGAUGAUGAUGGCGAGGAUAAUGAUUCAUAGAUGUCUACUGAGGAUGAUGAUGAUGGCAAGGAGGAUAGUUUGAGUAGAUAUCAAUACUACAAUACUCAAUUUCUAAUCCUAUUGUGCCUAUUGUUCAUCCUCCCCAUACUCAGAAAUAUAUUUCGAUUUACUACAGUGGAUUCCUAUGAUAAACUAGAAUGUUGUUUCUUUUGGGAUCCAUUUAAAGAGUUUUCAAUUGGGAUGCUAUUUUCUUCAAGAUAUGCAAUGGCUCCGGCUGCAAAAAAAUAUCACCUUAGACGUCAUCAUCAAUUUUGCUACCAUGAAACAAGAGAGAGUACAUAUUCUAUAAAGUAUAAAGACAAAUACAAUGGUUGUGCAUUGAGGCUUCGAGCAUCCAAAAAACAAGAAGAGGAUAUAUAAAAAAUUAUGAGAUAUAAUGGACCACACACAUAUACAAAUCCUCAAUUAUUGAAAAACAAUAGCUAAUUGGAUGAAAAUUUCAUCUAUUCAUUCAUCUUUGCAUUGAUUGAAUAACAGCCUAAUAUAAAAAUUGCAGCCCUACAAGCAGAAGUGUGAGAUAAAUUUGGGUACGAGUUGUCUCAUAAAAAAACAUGGAAAGCAAAGUAUAAGGCAAUUGCAAAGCUUUAUGGGAGUUGAGAUGAAUCACAUAGUUAGUUGCGUAAAUUCAUAACAGCUGUUCAUUAUUUCAAUUGUGAAACAAUAUACAUUAUUAGGAACAACCCACAUUGGAUAGAUGAACAAUUAAAUUUGAUGUGUUGUAUAUUUGACCAAAUGUUUUGGACUUUUAAGCAAUCGAUUAAGGGAUUUAAAUAUUGUCAACCUGCAAUUUCAAUCGAUGAGACAUUACUUUAUGGAAAAUACACCUGGCGUAUAUUGUGUGUAACUGCACUCGAUGGAAAUAAUCAACUUUUUUUUAAAACUUUUGUCAUUGUUAAUAAGAAAGAUGAUGACAAUUAGUCAUGGGUUAUGGACUGCAUAAGGUAUUUGUGACCAAUAGAGAAGACUUAUGUGUAAUUUCAGACCAUCAUGCUGGAAUUAUUAAGACGAUACAGAAAGAUUGGUGGCAACCUCCAGCCGGUCAUCAUCCUUACCAUAUAAGACAUGUAUUGAGCAAUUACAAUAAAACAUUCAAAAAUGCUGCAAUAAAGAAAUCAUUGUGUAGGGCAGAUAGAUGUCAUGUCUUUAAAUACAAUUUUUUUUAUCUAUUUAAUGUCACAUUUUGCUGAUAAUAAUUUUACUUUAAUGAACUUAUAAUUUAUAUCAGCAAAUCAAAAUCAGAAGAGAAAGUUUUAUGAAGCCAUGAACAAUAUUCAGGAGGUGCACCCUGAAUCAUAUGAUUGGACAGUUAAAAUAAAUUUAGCGAAAUGGACGAGAUCACACGAUGGUGGACAAAAAUAUAACAUGAUGACAAUAAACAUUUCUAAAUCCCUAAAUGGCAUGAUGAAAGGAUUUUGAGUGUUGUCUAUAACGACAAUAGUUGAAAAAAUAUUCUUUCAAUAUGUCCAUUAUUUUGAUACAUGACGAACAAUAUUUUUUGAUCAGCAAAGCAAGGAUUUAUUUUCACUCAGACUUGCAGUGAAACUCUUCGUGUUAAUGCAAUUAAAACGAAUGGACAUAGAGUGAGAAGGUUUAAAAGUCAAACAAUGGUUUGUAAAAUAAUUAUUAUUCGGGGUAGGCAAAAACAAGUGGUUAAACUUAUGGAUUAAAUAUGCACAUGUGACAAAUUUCAAGAGACGAGAUACCAUGUUCACAUGCUAUUGCUGCAUGUAUGUCCCAUUCAAUUGACUACAAGCAGUUUGUCUCUGAUUAUUAUAAAUUGGAGUAUAUCAUCCAAUGUUAUGCAUACACAUUCUAUCUUUUUAGACAUCCUAACUAUUGGCCUGCAACAUAUGAACUUCUUCUUGUGCCUGACAUUUCUAGAACAAGGAAGAAGAAACGACCAAAAUCUUCUAGGAUUCAUAAUGAGAUGGAUUGAAAGUCGAGCAAAAUAAAAGAAACGUCUAGAGUCCAUUGUUUAAUAUGUGACAGGGUGGGACAUAAUAAAAAAAUCUGUGUAGGUUGAAAAAUAAAUAGAUAAAUGUUAAUAUUUAUACUUACAGUCACUUAUAUUUUUUAUAAUUAUUAUAAACGUAAUGUAUUUUUUAGUGUUCAUUUAUUUUUAUUGGUAUCUUAUAUUUAUGUUUAAUGGUCGAUCGCUCAUGAUUACAUUUACAGAUUAAUAUGGUCGAUCGCGUUGUUAAAAAGAACAAAUCACACAAGUCAUCCAUAUCAAGAAUAUUUAAGAAUAAUUCAAUUAUAAUAGUCAAAAAGUAUAUAGAUCCUAAUGGCAUAACAUGGUAUGAAAAAAAUAAAUACGUCAGAUUACUCAUGUCUUAAUCGUAGUAAUGCACCACAUAUUUUCAUUGGUUUUCCUUUAAAUUCGUUACAAGAUUUUGGAUAAGUAAUUAUAUCGAGCGUUGAACCUCCAUGGGGAGACUAUGGAAAAUACGUUGUGAGUUAGAAGUAUAUUUUAAUAAAUAUAUUAAAAUAUCUCUAAUGGUUUAAAAAAUUUACUAAUUAAUUUUUUAUUAAUUUUAACAAUUAAAUAUUAUAAAAAGUUUAAAACACUCUCGAUACGGAAAGACUAAUUAUUAACUUUUUUAUAAAAUUAAGAAAUUAAUUAAUAUUUUUUUUUUCAAAUUACAGAAAUUAGAUGAUAAAAUAUUUAAAAAUAAUUAAUUAGUAGAUUUUUUAAAAUGCUAUGAUGGUUUAAUGGAUUUUUUAAAAUUGAGAAGUAAUAGAAUUAAAUAAUAAAUUUUUAUGUAUUUUGCUAUUAUUAAGUAUACAUUUGAUAUGAUAACAAAAAUUAGAGUAGUUGUUAAUGGUAUAUAUUUUUAUGGAGUAAUAAUUAAAUUUAAAAAAAAAAGGUUUAAUAUUAAAAAUGAAUAUAACUGUUAAUCUAUUAAUUUUUUAUGUUUUAUAUAAAAAAAUUAAAAAUAAUUAAAAAUAAUUCAUUUAACUUAAUAAAAUAUCAUUUAGAUGUUAUAUUAUAGAUAAGUAAUGCAAUGAAUAUAUAUUUAUUAUGAAUCAUAUAUUAAUUUAGAGAAAAUUUUAAUAUAAAAUCAAUCAUAAAUAGAUAAAUCCGUAACAAACCGUAUUCUAAGUAGACACCUAUCAUGAUGUUCUUACAAGUGGACAAAUGGUGCGAGAGUAGAGUGCAUGUUAACGGGAAAGUAGCAAUCAAAAGAAAGCACUAGAAUUUAAGUUAUGGAACCCACAAUACGCGUCGUUUUAAAUACAAAUUUUGAAUUUUACAAAAUGGCAAAUAAUGAAAAUGUUGAAUUAAGCGUCAAAGGCCAAACCGAGACUACGUAUUAGAUAAAGUCAAACAAAGUGUGGCGACUGUUGGACAAUUCAACAUUCCUCGCUAUAUAAACGCCUAAUUCUCUACUCAUUCUUCAUCUUCAUCACCAUUUCUAUUCUCUGCCUCUUCACUUCACUCAGCUUCUCUCUCGCUGAUCAGUUUUGUUUUCUCCAGUUUUCCAUCCAUAAUUAAUAAUGGGUUUGAAGGGUUUUGUUGAAGGUGGUAUUGCCUCCAUUGUCGCCGGUGCCUCCACCCACCCUCUUGACCUCAUCAAGGUUCGCAUGCAACUUCAAGGUGAAUCCCACCUCCCCAAUCCAGCUUCCCUUCAAGCCCUCCGUCCUGCCAUCGCCUUCAACACGGUUGCUGCUGGUGCCGGUAAUAUUUCACUACCUGUAGAAAUUGCUCCUCCGCCAGCUCGCGUUGGACCCAUUUCUAUCGGUGUUCGUAUCAUUCAAUCUGAAGGUGCUGCAGCCCUUUUCUCUGGUGUAUCUGCCACUAUACUUCGCCAGACCUUGUACUCAACCACCCGUAUGG